Hevea brasiliensis (rubber tree) is the source of this 1254-nucleotide long non-coding RNA. RefSeq lists it as uncharacterized. The transcript has 2 exons. NCBI's taxonomy places the organism in Eukaryota, Viridiplantae, Streptophyta, Magnoliopsida, Malpighiales, Euphorbiaceae. The record is from RefSeq and is a predicted model, not a curated record.
UUUUUUUACCCCUUUUGGUUGUUUGGUUUCUGGUAAAAAUGCGGCAAAAGAAAUGAAAUGAAAAGUUUGAAUCUCUCUUUUUUCGCUUAGAGAAACGAAUUGUCACAAAUGAUUGAGCGAAGGCUCCGCUUAGCUCUGUUAAUUACUACAGUUUGACUUGCUUGGUGAUUUUCUUUUUUCCUUUUUCUCUUUUUGGAAAAAUCACUAACCCUUUUUUUAUUGCUCUCUCUACUCUAAACAAUCAAACAGAGACUGUGAGAGUUUUUGUUUUCGGCGGAAAUUUUCUGUUACUGCACUUAUUAGCUGCGUGUUGAUGUGUUAAUGUUUUGGCGCCUUGAAAUUAUAAACCAAGAAAAUGCAGGAAGGAAAAAAAAAAAUUUUUUUUAUUCGUGUUUAAUUGGAAUAUAUGUAGAUCUGUUUUGUAACUCUGUUAAGUUGACAUCAUAAUUCGUUUUUGCAUCUUGAAGUGGUGAAAUGUGGUUUGAUUUGAUCCAUUCCUGACUAUGAGGUGGCUGAAUAUGAACUAACUUAAAAAGUAGAAUUGAAAUUCCAGCUGAGGAUGAACAAGAUAGGAGAUUCUUCUAACUUUUUGAUAUAUUUGGUCUGUUAGACUUAUUAUCAUUGGCUAAAUGAACCUGAAAAUGUGGUCAUGCAUAAUUAGUUGGAAAACAGACAAUAUCAGGUUUCCUUAUGAGUUUUCACGUAGCUUUUGUUAUGCUUCGGUUAUACCUUUCGUUUUAAUUGGUCUACUGGCAGGAUUGCCUACUAGAGUGGGGCAAUGGUGGGAAAGCAUUCCGUUUCUAACUUCUGCAGUGGUGAUUGUUUGUGGGACUAUCUACUUGGUCUGCCUUUUCAUCGGAUAUGACUCCUUUUAUGAAAUAUGCUUCUUGCCAUCUGCUGUUAUCUCACGAUUUCAAGUUUACAGGAUUUAUACAUCCAUUAUUUUUCAUGGUUCAUUGCUUCAUGUGCUGUUCAACAUGCUGGCUUUGGUGCCUUUUGGGUUCUGAACUCGAGAGAAUCAAAACAACUUUUAGCGGUGAAAUAAAUUCUCCACUAAUAAUCAAAAUUUUCCCACUAAAAAUUAUAUUAAUGGGAAAAAAAUCACUAGCAAUAUCUGCUCCGCAAAAAAAAAAAUUUAAAAUUUGUACCAAAUUUUUCAUACCAAUUUGCAUUUAAUCUUGAUAUUAUAAAUUACAAUGAAUUUGUACCAAUUUGCAUUUAAUCUUGAUAUCAUAAAUUGCGAUAAAUUCUCUA